UUCAAUUGUGCAACCAUUUGCACGCUAUAUUCCCUCUUUGUCUCAAAAUCUCCUUUCUUCUUCAGAUCUCCUCUUCGUCUCCAGAUUUCCUCUCUCUUCUCUUAUUGUCGUCUUCCUCCACCGCCGCGACCACCAAACCCACCCGAUUCAACGAAACUCGUCCUCCUUUCUCAUCUUCCACCAUUUCUUGUCACCUUAACUCCAGAUCUGGCUACCUCCACUACACAAGAAUCCGUUUCUACAGAAACCCAGAAGCAGCCAUGAUUUCAGAUGAGGUAUUUGUUGUCUUGAAGCCUAGUGAUAAAGCUUGUAGAGACGAUAUGAGGUUUUACAUUAGGGAUUCGUUGACAAGGAUGAAGAUUGGGGAUGUGCAGAUGAUGAAGCAAGCUUUGAUUAAGCUUAAUGGAUGAAGUUUCUUAUAGCUUAAAGACGAGCAAUUUUAGGUUUAGUUUUUGUGGUUGGUUUGUGAUUUCAUUUAGUUUGGUAUGAAGUAGGUAUACGGAGACAUCUUCAAUUGCUGUAACGAAAGAAGUGUCUAAGAAAGGUGUCGUUUUGGUGUCUUUGCAGGUGAGGAUGUGAAGAGGACUUUGUUUGUUUCCAUGGUGUUUCUUCUACUCUCAUCUGAUUUGACGGCCAAGCUAAGUAAUAAAGGUAUAAAGUUCUUUGGGUUUAUUUAUGGUUUGCAGGUGAGGAUCUGAGAACUUUGUUUGUUUUCAUGGUCUUUCUUACAUGGGUUCUGGUUUUUGGUUUCCAUGGUGUUUCUUACAUAAUAUUAUCCAUGGUGUUGGAUAAUAUAUCAAUUUGGGUUCUGGUUUUUGGGUUCCAUGGUGAUUCUUACAUAAUAAUAUCCAUGGUGUCGGAUAAUAUAUUAAUUCGUGUUCUCACUGAUUUAUCUUCUUUGGUAGGAGGCCUAUUAACUUCAACGCUCAUGUCUCUCUUUUAUAGUCAUGGAAACAAAGAGUUACAUGUCAAAGUAGUGAAGCUUUUGUUUACAGGAGGAAUUCCAGUUCGUAGAACUGAUGACCCUUUGCAGAAGCUCUUUAUGUCUCUUAGGAGUGAUCUAAAUUUGGCCUUGAAGAACGUGUGUUAGAGCUUGCACCUCACUUCCUUGAGGAGUUAUUACAGGUUUAGAAGAGUCUCUAGGUUCAUGUUUUUGUUGAUUGUGGCAGUUUUAAUGUUAGGUUAAGACUUAGUUUGAGAUUUGUAAUGUAUGUAGUGUAUUGUAGUUGAAAUAUUUAAGAAGAUAUGUACUGUAUUUUGAGCCUUCUAUAAAUUUUUUCUUAUAUA
Camelina sativa (false flax) is the source of this 1287-nucleotide non-coding RNA. The record is from RefSeq and is a predicted model, not a curated record. NCBI's taxonomy places the organism in Eukaryota, Viridiplantae, Streptophyta, Magnoliopsida, Brassicales, Brassicaceae.